AGUCCGGCGCCACGCGGCGAGACUUUCUUGAACCGGGUCAGGUCGGGAACGAAGCAGCCCUAAGGGGAAGUUCUCGGGCGCCGUGGAUGUCCGGGCUUCC
This 100-nucleotide signal recognition particle RNA is filed under the name Planctomycetota bacterium. RNAcentral describes it as "signal recognition particle sRNA small type". It matches the Rfam family "Bacterial small signal recognition particle RNA". Rfam says of the family: The signal recognition particle (SRP) is a universally conserved ribonucleoprotein involved in the co-translational targeting of proteins to membranes. Archaeal SRP consists of a 7S RNA and homologues of the eukaryotic SRP19 and SRP54 proteins. The record is from RNAcentral. Lineage: Bacteria; Pseudomonadati; Planctomycetota.